Molecule: long non-coding RNA, 407 nt
Organism: Helianthus annuus (common sunflower)
Lineage: Eukaryota; Viridiplantae; Streptophyta; Magnoliopsida; Asterales; Asteraceae
Exons: 3
Source: RefSeq, a predicted model, not a curated record
GAACGCAGGGGGCGACCAAGCUCACCCUCAAACCCUAGUUUCAACUUUUUGAUCAAAUUGAAGCCUCUAAAGUGAUCCAAAUCGAAUUCCAAGCAUAGAUUAGUGAUCAUCUCAGCAAAGUGAUCAUAAGGCAAGGAAUCCGGAUCGUCAAGUGGACAAGCCGGUGGAGACACGCGUUUGAAAGGAGCGCUUUAAAGGUAAUGUUGGCGAUACUCCGGAUGGCGAUCAAGCAAUAUGUCAAGAACCGAACACAACACUUUUGAAGCUUCCGCAUUAAUAUAUUUUGUUUUUAACUAAAUGUGAACAUGUAACUCUGGAUGUCACUUUUGUACGUUUUAAACUAGUAGGGAUGUGAAUCCUAAAUACUCUAAUCAUGUAAGAGUAUUAAACGUAACAAUUUUUUUGGU